GUCUAUGGCCAUGCUACCCUAAACGUGCCCGAUCUCAACUGACCUCAGAAGCUAAGCAGGGUCGGGCCUGGUUAGUACUUGGAUGGGAGACCAGUUUGGAAUACCAGGUGCUGUAAAUG
RNAcentral lists this ribosomal RNA (119 nucleotides) under Pteropus alecto (black flying fox). Lineage: Eukaryota; Metazoa; Chordata; Mammalia; Chiroptera; Pteropodidae. The record is from RNAcentral.